GCUGGGUGCAGUGGCGUACACCUGUAAUCCCAGUGGCUUGGGAGACUGAGACAGGAGAAUCGGGAGUUCAAAGCCAUCCUCAGCCAUGGUGAGAUGCAAAGCAACUUAAGUGAGACCCUGUCUCAG
RNAcentral lists this small RNA (126 nucleotides) under Marmota monax (woodchuck). The record is from RNAcentral. Lineage: Eukaryota; Metazoa; Chordata; Mammalia; Rodentia; Sciuridae.